GACGAACGCUGGCGGCGUGCUUAACACAUGCAAGUCGAACGGAAAGGCCCCUUCGGGGGUACUCGAGUGGCGAACGGGUGAGUAACACGUGAGUAACCUGCCCUUGACUUCGGGAUAACUUCAGGAAACUGGGGCUAAUACCGGAUAGGAAUCCUUGCUGCAUGGUGGGGGUUGGAAAGCUUCGGCGGUUUUGGAUGGACUCGCGGCUUAUCAGCUUGUUGGUGGGGUAGUGGCUUACCAAGGCUUUGACGGGUAGCCGGCCUGAGAGGGCGACCGGCCACAUUGGGACUGAGAUACGGCCCAGACUCCUACGGGAGGCAGCAGUGGGGAAUAUUGCACAAUGGGCGGGAGCCUGAUGCAGCAACGCCGCGUGCGGGAUGACGGCCUUCGGGUUGUAAACCGCUUUCAGCAGGGGCGAAGCUUGUGGUGACGGUACCUGCAGAAGAAGCACCGGCUAACUACGUG
RNAcentral lists this ribosomal RNA (465 nucleotides) under uncultured bacterium. RNAcentral describes it as "partial 16S ribosomal RNA". It matches the Rfam family "Bacterial small subunit ribosomal RNA", at positions 28 to 507 of the family's 1533-position model. The record is from RNAcentral.